UACGGAGGAUGCAAGCGUUAUCCGGAUUUAUUGGGUUUAAAGGGUGCGCAGGUUGUUUGAUAAGUCAGUGGUGAAAGUCUGUCGCUUAACGGUAGGAUUGCCAUUGAUACUGCUGGACUUGAAUAUGGAUGAGGUAGGCGGAAUGUGUAGUGUAGCGGUGAAAUGCAUAGAUAUUACACAGAACACCGAUUGCGAAGGCAGCUUACUAAUCCAUCAUUGACGCUGAGGCACGAGAGCGUGGGGAU
RNAcentral lists this ribosomal RNA (245 nucleotides) under uncultured prokaryote. RNAcentral's name for it is "partial 16S ribosomal RNA". It matches the Rfam family "Bacterial small subunit ribosomal RNA", at positions 524 to 768 of the family's 1533-position model. The record is from RNAcentral.